This 254-nucleotide ribosomal RNA is filed under the name uncultured bacterium. RNAcentral describes it as "partial 16S ribosomal RNA". It matches the Rfam family "Bacterial small subunit ribosomal RNA", at positions 524 to 776 of the family's 1533-position model. The record is from RNAcentral.
UACGAAGGGGGCUAGCGUUGUUCGGAAUUACUGGGCGUAAAGAGCGCGCAGGCGGUCGUUCAAGUCGCGUGUGAAAGCCCCCGGCUCAACUGGGGAGGGUCACGCGAUACUGAUCGACUCGAAGGCAGGAGAGGGUAGUGGAAUUCCCGGUGUAGUGGUGAAAUGCGUAGAUAUCGGGAGGAACACCAGUGGCGAAGGCGACUACCUGGCCUGUUUCUUGACGCUGAGGCGCGAAAGCUAGGGGAGCAAACGGG